RNAcentral lists this ribosomal RNA (388 nucleotides) under Syndiniales sp. RNAcentral describes it as "partial small subunit ribosomal RNA". It matches the Rfam family "Eukaryotic small subunit ribosomal RNA", at positions 582 to 975 of the family's 1831-position model. The record is from RNAcentral. Lineage: Eukaryota; Dinophyceae; Syndiniales.
AUUCCAGCUCCAAUAGCGUAUAUUAAAGUUGUUGCGGUUAAAAAGUUCGUAGUUGGAUUUCUGUGAAGGAUAACCGGUCCGCACUAUGUGCGUGUAUCUGUUUGUCCUUUGCAUCCUCGCGGAAUACGUCACUGUGCUUCACUGCAUGGGGCGGGCCUCGCGACUUUUACUUUGAGGAAAUUAGAGUGUUCACGGCAGGCUCACGCCAUGAAUAUAUUAGCAUGGAAUAAUAAUAUAGGACCUUGGUUCUAUUUUGUUGGUUUCUAGGGCUAAGGUAAUGAUUAAUAGGGACAAUUGGGGGCAUUCGUAUUAACGCGUCAGAGGUGGAAUUCUUGGAUUGCGUUACGACGAACUACUGCGAAAGCAUUUGCCAAGGAUGUUUUCAUUA